Podarcis lilfordi (Lilford's wall lizard) is the source of this 293-nucleotide non-coding RNA. NCBI's taxonomy places the organism in Eukaryota, Metazoa, Chordata, Lepidosauria, Squamata, Lacertidae. The record is from the annotation of a GenBank genome assembly.
GGAUGUGAGGGCGAUCUGGCUGCGACAUCUGUCACCCCAUUGAUCGCCAGGGUUGAUUCGGCUGAUCUGGCUGGCUAGGCGGGUGUCCCCUUCCUCCCUCACCGCUCCAUGUGCGUCCCUCCCGAAGCUGCGCGCUCGGUGGAAGAGGACGACCAUCCCAGAUAGAAGGAGUGUACAGUUCUUCGGUCAAGGGUAUACGAUAGCUGCGCUCCCCUGCUAGAACCUCCAAACAAGAAUCUGGGCAAUGGGGAGCUGAAUUUUGCAGAGAAACUUGGGUCAUUAUUUCUGCCUUC